Catharus ustulatus (Swainson's thrush) is the source of this 208-nucleotide long non-coding RNA. RefSeq lists it as uncharacterized. The transcript is spliced from 3 exons. NCBI's taxonomy places the organism in Eukaryota, Metazoa, Chordata, Aves, Passeriformes, Turdidae. The record is from RefSeq and is a predicted model, not a curated record.
GCACGUACGGAUGCUCCGAGAGCUGCUCCUGCCUCCCCGCCUGCCCUGCCUCCAGAUGUUGCAUCAUUUCGCGGGCUACAAAAGUCCAAUGCUCUUGAGGAACAAGAAACCCCCAAGCUUAACCCGCCAAAAAGCAAAGUUACUGAGUCUCUACUGAAACCUCAAGGAGGAGAUCCUGUCCCCAGCUGGAGAAGCAGCAGGGAGGAGG